CGUGUAGGUAUGUAUGGCUGGAUCAUUUCAGUGAGUUCCUUCAGAACAGUCCUACCUGAAAGACUGCAGACCUGUGCUACUCGCCUUGGGCAUCACAUUUCAGAUGGAAAUCCAGACUCAACAGAACAGGCAACAUUC
Molecule: long non-coding RNA, 138 nt
Organism: Esox lucius (northern pike)
Lineage: Eukaryota; Metazoa; Chordata; Actinopteri; Esociformes; Esocidae
Exons: 3
Source: RefSeq, a predicted model, not a curated record